GAACGCUAGCUACAGGCUUUACACAUGCAAGUCGAGGGGCAGCAUGGUCUUAGCUUGCUAAGGCCAAUGGCGACCGGCGCACGGGUGAGUAACACGUAUCCAACCUGCCGUCUACUCUUGGACAGCCUUCUGAAAGGAAGAUUAAUACAAGAUGGCAUCAUGAGUCCGCAUGUUCACAUGAUUAAAGGUAUUCCGGUAGACGAUGGGGAUGCGUUCCAUUAGAUAGUAGGCGGGGUAACGGCCCACCUAGUCUUCGAUGGAUAGGGGUUCUGAGAGGAAGGUCCCCCACAUUGGAACUGAGACACGGUCCAAACUCCUACGGGAGGCAGCAGUGAGGAAUAUUGGUCAAUGGGCGAGAGCCUGAACCAGCCAAGUAGCGUGAAGGAUGACUGCCCUAUGGGUUGUAAACUUCUUUUAUAAAGGAAUAAAGUCGGGUAUGCAUACCCGUUUGCAUGUACUUUAUGAAUAAGGAUCGGCUAACUCCGUGCCAGCAGCCGCGGUAAUACGGAGGAUCCGAGCGUUAUCCGGAUUUAUUGGGUUUAAAGGGAGCGUAGAUGGAUGUUUAAGCCAGUUGUGAAAGUUUGCGGCUCAACCGUAAAAUUGCAGUUGAUACUGGAUAUCUUGAGUGCAGUUGAGGCAGGCGGAAUUCGUGGUGUAGCGGUGAAAUGCUUAGAUAUCACGAAGAACUCCGAUUGCGAAGGCAGCCUGCUAAGCUGCAACUGACAUUGAGGCUCGAAAGUGUGGGUAUCAAACAGGAUUAGAUACCCUGGUAGUCCACACGGUAAACGAUGAAUACUCGCUGUUUGCGAUAUACAGCAAGCGGCCAAGCGAAAGCGUUAAGUAUUCCACCUGGGGAGUACGCCGGCAACGGUGAAACUCAAAGGAAUUGACGGGGGCUCGCACAAGCGGAGGAACAUGUGGUUUAAUUUGAUG
RNAcentral lists this ribosomal RNA (933 nucleotides) under uncultured organism. Its description in RNAcentral is "SSU rRNA". It matches the Rfam family "Bacterial small subunit ribosomal RNA", at positions 31 to 956 of the family's 1533-position model. The record is from RNAcentral.